CCUACGGGUGGCAGCAGUGAGGAAUAUUGGUCAAUGGUCGGGAGACUGAACCAGCCAAGCCGCGUGAGGGAGGAAGGUACAGAGUAUCGUAAACCUCUUUUGUCAGGGAACAAAGGCGGGGACGUGUCCCCGGAUGAGUGUACCUGAAGCAAAAGCAUCGGCUAACUCCGUGCCAGCAGCCGCGGUAAUACGGAGGAUGCGAGCGUUAUCCGGAUUUAUUGGGUUUACAGGGUGCGCAGGCGGUCUGUUAAGUCAGCGUUAAAAGCCCGGGGCUCAACCCCGGCCCGCCGUUGAAACUGGUAGGCUCGAGUGGGAGAGAAGUAUGCGGAAUGCGAGGUGUAGCGGUGAAAUGCAUAGAUAUCGCGCAGAACUCCGAUUGCGAAGGCAGCAUGCCGGCUCCACACUGACGCUGAGGCACGAAAGCGUGGGUAUCGAACAGGAUUAGAUACCCGAGUAGUC
This 459-nucleotide ribosomal RNA is filed under the name uncultured bacterium. RNAcentral describes it as "partial 16S ribosomal RNA". It matches the Rfam family "Bacterial small subunit ribosomal RNA", at positions 338 to 795 of the family's 1533-position model. The record is from RNAcentral.